CCCUUAGACGUUCUGGGCCGCACGCGCGCUACACUGACCAGUGCAACAAGCAUCCGUCCUUGGCCGACAGGCCCGGGCAAUCUUUGAACGCUGUUCGUGAUUGGGAUAGACCUUUGCAAUUAUGGGUCUUCAACGAGGAAUUCCUAGUAAACGCAAGUCAUCAGCUUGCAUUGAUUACGUCCCUGCCCUUUGUACACACCGCCCGUCGCACCUACCGAUUGAAUGGUCCGGUGAAAUCUCGGGACGGCGGCUUGGUCGCUUGCGUCCGACUGCUGAAACUUGAUUAAACCAUAUCAUUUAGAGGAAGGUGAANUCGUANCA
RNAcentral lists this ribosomal RNA (321 nucleotides) under uncultured eukaryote. RNAcentral's name for it is "partial 18S ribosomal RNA". It matches the Rfam family "Eukaryotic small subunit ribosomal RNA", at positions 1470 to 1796 of the family's 1831-position model. The record is from RNAcentral.